GACGUAGGGUGCGAGCGUUGUCCGGAUUUAUUGGGCGUAAAGAGCUCGUAGGCGGCUCGUCGCGUCGACCGUGAAAACCCGCGGCUUAACUGCGGGCUUGCGGUUGAUACGGGCGGGCUAGAGUUCGGUAGGGGAGACUGGAACUCCUGGUGUAGCGGUGAAAUGCGCAGAUAUCAGGAGGAACACCGGUGGCGAAGGCGGUUCUCUGGGCAUUACCUGACGCUGAGGAGCGAAAGUGUGGGGAGCGAACAGG
This 253-nucleotide ribosomal RNA is filed under the name uncultured bacterium. Its description in RNAcentral is "partial 16S ribosomal RNA". It matches the Rfam family "Bacterial small subunit ribosomal RNA", at positions 524 to 776 of the family's 1533-position model. The record is from RNAcentral.